GACGAACGCUGGCGGCGUGCCUAAUACAUGCAAGUAGAACGCACAGUUUAUACCGUAGCUUGCUACACCAUAGACUGUGAGUUGCGAACGGGUGAGUAACGCGUAGGUAACCUGCCUGGUAGCGGGGGAUAACUAUUGGAAACGAUAGCUAAUACCGCAUAAUAUUAAUUAUUGCAUGAUAAUUAAUUGAAAGGUGCAAUUGCACCACUACCAGAUGGACCUGCGUUGUAUUAGCUAGUAGGUGAGGUAACGGCUCACCUAGGCGACGAUACAUAGCCGACCUGAGAAGGUGGUCGGCCACACUGGGACUGAGACACGGCCCAGACUCCUACGGGAGGCAGCAGUAGGGAAUCUUCGGCAAUGGACGGAAGUCUGACCGAGCAACGCCGCGUGAGGGAAGAAGGGUUUCGGAUCGUAAAGCUCUGUUGUACGAGAAGAACGGGUGUGAGAGUGGAAAGUUCACACUGUGACGGUAUCUGAACAGAAAGGGACGGCUAACUACGUG
RNAcentral lists this ribosomal RNA (505 nucleotides) under uncultured bacterium. RNAcentral's name for it is "partial 16S ribosomal RNA". It matches the Rfam family "Bacterial small subunit ribosomal RNA", at positions 28 to 507 of the family's 1533-position model. The record is from RNAcentral.